GGAAAUGUAUUGAUGAGAAGAGUAGGUCAAGAGAAACUGACAGAGAGAAAGUCCAAUGGUGAGAGGAUUUUUAAGCGUAGCUUGUCUGAAGUGCAUCUCGGAACACCGGACCGAAUACAUUGGCGAUUGUGAAACAAUCCUGGUUUUAGUAGGCUCCGACGGGUAUGCCCGUUACAGCAUAAUGGUAUGAUUGUACCAGAUUUACGAGUUAUUUGCAUUCCGAUAUUUUGAUGCAGAUAAACAGAGUGGAACCGCGAAAUGAACUUUCGCCUCUGUC
Molecule: non-coding RNA, 277 nt
Filed under: Clostridia bacterium
Lineage: Bacteria; Bacillati; Bacillota; Clostridia
Description: T-box sequence
Rfam family: T-box leader
About the family: Uncharged tRNA acts as the effector for transcription antitermination of genes in the T-box leader family. T-boxes are found upstream of many aminoacyl-tRNA synthetase genes and some amino acid biosynthetic genes usually in Gram-positive bacteria.
Source: RNAcentral